UGGCCAGGGUGGGCCACGUCUUUAAUUAUCUUGGCUGCUUUUCUGGGGCAGUGUGAAGUGUAGUGUCUGAAGAAGGGU
This is a long non-coding RNA of Amblyraja radiata (thorny skate), 78 nucleotides long. RefSeq lists it as uncharacterized. The transcript is spliced from 3 exons. Lineage: Eukaryota; Metazoa; Chordata; Chondrichthyes; Rajiformes; Rajidae. The record is from RefSeq and is a predicted model, not a curated record.